Molecule: non-coding RNA, 129 nt
Organism: Phascolarctos cinereus (koala)
Lineage: Eukaryota; Metazoa; Chordata; Mammalia; Diprotodontia; Phascolarctidae
Source: RefSeq, a predicted model, not a curated record
GACCAGGGAAUUUAAGUGACCCACCCCACAUCCCACAGGCAGUCCACAUCAGCAGCAGAAUUGGUUCCAACCUCUAACUGAUCACUAAACUGGAAGAUGAGAGGAAAACUGUGGUGUCUGGAGUCAAAA